RNAcentral lists this ribosomal RNA (926 nucleotides) under uncultured bacterium. RNAcentral describes it as "bacterial SSU rRNA". It matches the Rfam family "Bacterial small subunit ribosomal RNA", at positions 8 to 916 of the family's 1533-position model. The record is from RNAcentral.
AGAGUUUGAUCCUGGCUCAGAACGAACGCUGGCGGCGUGCCUAACACAUGCAAGUCGAGCGAGAACGGGACCUUCGGGUCCUUAGUACAGCGGCGCACGGGUGAGUAACACGUGGGCAACCUGCCCUCGGGUUGGGGAUAACGUCUCGAAAGGGGCGCUAAUACCGAAAUAAGACCACAGAGACCCCGGUCUCAGUGGUAAAAGUGGCUUCGGUCACGCCUGAGGAUGGGCCCGCGUACCAUUAGCUUGAUGGUGGGGUAACGGCCUACCAUUUUGGCUUCGAUGGUUAGCUGGUCUGAGAGGAUGAUCAGCCACACUGGAACUGAAACACGGUCCAGACUCCUACGGGAGGCAGCAGUGAGGAAUUUUGCGCAAUGGGGGAAACCCUGACGCAGCAACGCCGCGUGAGUGAUGAAGGCCCUUCGGGUUGUAAAGCUCUGUCAGGAGGGAAGAACUAUUUAUGGUAACGCAUAAAAGUGACGUGUACCUCCAAAGGAAGCACAGGCUAACUCCGUGCCAGCAGCCGCGGUAAUACGGAGUGUGCAAGCGUUGUUCGGAAUCAUUGGGCGUAAAGCGCGUGCAGGCGGCUCUGUAAGUCAGGUGUGAAAGCCCCCGGCUCAACCGGGGAAGUGCACUUGAAACUACAGAACUUGAGUACGGCAGGGGGGAGCAGAAUUCCCAGUGUAGAGGUGAAAUUCGUAGAUAUUGGGAGGAAUACCAGUGGCGAAGGCGGCUCCCUGGACCAGUACUGACGCUCAGACGCGAAAGCGUGGGUAGCAAACAGGAUUAGAUACCCUGGUAGUCCACGCUGUAAACGAUGGGUACUAGGUGUUGUGGGUAUUGACCCCUACAGUGCCGCAGCUAACGCAUUAAGUACCCCGCCUGGGGAGUACGGCCGCAAGGCUAAAACUCAAAGGAAUUGACGG